RNAcentral lists this long non-coding RNA (476 nucleotides) under Carica papaya (papaya). Its description in RNAcentral is "long non-coding RNA (CPAP_LNC012961)". Lineage: Eukaryota; Viridiplantae; Streptophyta; Magnoliopsida; Brassicales; Caricaceae. The record is from RNAcentral.
CGCGUGCAUGACACGGGACAUGUGCAUAGUGCAGACAUCCCCUUCGUGCGCACGACACGGGGCCAGGACCUGUGCACACAUCUUGUCAUGCGUAGACAGGUUAUCCAUACGUCAUUUUGUGCUUGGACUGGCACUGCACACUUUGCGCGCUCUGUUCGCGCCUGAGGCCUGCGCGAAAAAGGCUUGCACAGGCAGUGCCCAGUGCCCUUAGGGCUUGCGCAUGCAACAGCAAGCCUGCAGCGCAUCGGCUGGGCGUUGCCACCUCGGGCAGUGCUCUGUUGCUGCUUUAGGCAACACAUCACCGCCACUGGGGGAGGAAAUUUUUCUGCUUCAUUUUUCGUGCCAAGAAUCUUUUUCUCCUUUCUCUUCACUAGAUUUUGCCACUUGGCACAAAUAUAAUGGUUCUAAAAUUCUAUAAAUUACCCUCCACCUUCCAUUCCUCUCUACACUUCCAUUUCUUCAAAUUUUCAAAGUUU